UAGUUCCCAUAGCCUACACAAAUGCAUAUGAAAUGCUUAAUAUUUUGCUUGCACUAUUCUUUUCUGCUGGAAGGGUGGUUCUGACUAAAAAAUUUUACUUUCCCAUUCUUUGCUUUUUCAUUAAUGCUAUUUUCUUUGCCCCAGGGUUAUAGAGUGGAAAGUCCCACAAUCUUUUUCUUCUCUAUUUUCAGAAAAACGUUGACCUCUUGGCGAGAAUGCAAAGAAGGGAACGCUUGCUUAUACACUGUUGGUGAACUGUCACCCCUACAACUCAGCUUGCAACCAGCCCUGGCCACCACCGGUUUCCCCACACUGAGCUGAAUAUCGGACAUGCCCAUCUUAGACAUUCCAGCCCAUUCUGAAAUUCCACAUCGACUCACCCGACAAAGUCUGAAGUUCCAGGGCAAUUUAUCUGGAAAAGCUCACUUGGAAUCACGUGUCAUUUCAACCAACAACUGUUGAAGAGGACGUGGCAUUAAAACCAAGGGUAUCAAUUAUUUAUAA
Gorilla gorilla gorilla (western lowland gorilla) is the source of this 504-nucleotide long non-coding RNA. RefSeq lists it as uncharacterized. The transcript is spliced from 3 exons. The record is from RefSeq and is a predicted model, not a curated record. NCBI's taxonomy places the organism in Eukaryota, Metazoa, Chordata, Mammalia, Primates, Hominidae.